GAUGAACGCUGGCGGCGUGCCUAAUACAUGCAAGUCGAGCGAACGGAUGAGAAGCUUGCUUCUCUGAUGUUAGCGGCGGACGGGUGAGUAACACGUGGAUAACCUACCUAUAAGACUGGGAUAACUACGGGAAACCGGAGCUAAUACCGGAUAAUAUUUUGAACCGCAUUGUUCAAAAGUGAGAUACGGUCUUUCGGUCACUAAUAGCUGGAUACGCGCUGCAUUAGUUAGUUGGUAAGGUAACGGCUUACCAAGGCAACGAUGCAUAGCCGACCUGAGAGGGUGAUCGGCCACCCGGGAACUGAGACACGGUCGAGACACCGGCGCGAGGAAGCAGUAGGGAAUCUUACGCAAUGGGCGAAAGCCUGACAGAGCAACGCCGCGUGAGUGAUGAAGGUCUUCGGAUCGUAAAACGAUGUUAUUAGGGAAGAACAUAUGUGUAAGUAACCGUGAAGAUCUUGACGGUACCUAAUCAGAAAGCCACGGCUAACUACGUG
Molecule: ribosomal RNA, 497 nt
Filed under: uncultured bacterium
Lineage: Bacteria
Description: partial 16S ribosomal RNA
Rfam family: Bacterial small subunit ribosomal RNA
Source: RNAcentral